UUUUCGCAAUGCCCGAAAGGGUGACGAAGCGACGCCGCGUGGGUGAGGAAGGCCUUCGGGUUGUAAAGCCCUGUCAGGAGUUAAGAAAUGUAGGUGCGCUAAUACCGCAUUUAUUUGACGAAGGCUCUAAAGGAAGCCACGGCUAACUCUGUGCCAGCAGCCGCGGUAAUACAGAGGUGGCAAGCGUUGUUCGGAAUUAUUGGGCGUAAAGAGCACGUAGGUGGGUUUGUAAGUCAGAUGUGAAAGCCUUCUGUUCAACGGAAGAAUUGCAUCUGAAACUGCGAAUCUUGAGUGUAGGAGGGGAGAAUGGAACUUCUGGUGGAGCGGUGAAAUGCGUAGAUAUCAGAAGGAACGCCGGCGGCGAAAGCGAUUCUCUGGCCUAUUACUGACACUCAGUGUGCGAAAGCUAGGGGAGCAAACGGGAUUAGAUACCCCGGUAGUCCUAGCCGUAAACGAUGGGCACUAAGUAGAGGGGUU
RNAcentral lists this ribosomal RNA (477 nucleotides) under uncultured anaerobic ammonium-oxidizing bacterium. Its description in RNAcentral is "bacterial SSU rRNA". It matches the Rfam family "Bacterial small subunit ribosomal RNA", at positions 363 to 830 of the family's 1533-position model. The record is from RNAcentral.